GUAUAUAUAUAUAAUAUUUAUCUAUAAAAAGAAUAAAUGAUAUAGUAUAUCAUAUAUAGUAUAUAUUGUUAUUAAUGAUAUUUAUUUAUAUAUAUGAGGAUAUAUUAUGUACUAGCAAAAUAUUUAGUCCCAUAUUAGGAUAUAUUAAUUGUAUUAUUAUAUAUAAUUAAUUAAUUAUACAUAUCUAUGAAGAAAUAUAUGGUAUAUAUUAUUAUAUAUAGCUAAUUAGUUAUUAUAUGAU
Molecule: long non-coding RNA, 241 nt
Filed under: Ananas comosus (pineapple)
Lineage: Eukaryota; Viridiplantae; Streptophyta; Magnoliopsida; Poales; Bromeliaceae
Description: long non-coding RNA (ACOM_LNC033118)
Source: RNAcentral